CCCGAUCCCAUUCCGAACUCGGCCGUUAAGCGCCGUCGCGCUGAUGGUACUGCGUCUCAAGACGUGGGAGAGUAAGUCACCGCCAGACCU
This 90-nucleotide ribosomal RNA is filed under the name Limimaricola hongkongensis DSM 17492. Lineage: Bacteria; Pseudomonadati; Pseudomonadota; Alphaproteobacteria; Rhodobacterales; Paracoccaceae. The record is from RNAcentral.